RNAcentral lists this ribosomal RNA (450 nucleotides) under uncultured bacterium. RNAcentral's name for it is "partial 16S ribosomal RNA". It matches the Rfam family "Bacterial small subunit ribosomal RNA", at positions 338 to 795 of the family's 1533-position model. The record is from RNAcentral.
CCUACGGGGGGCUGCAGUGAGGAAUAUUGGUCAAUGGGCGGAAGCCUGAACCAGCCAUGCCGCGUGCAGGAAGACGGCCCUACGGGUUGUAAACUGCUUUUCCGGGGGAAGAAUAAGGGCGACGUGUCGCCCGAUGCCGGUACCCCGGGAAUAAGGAUCGGCUAACUCCGUGCCAGCAGCCGCGGUAAUACGGAGGAUCCGAGCGUUAUCCGGUUUUACGGGGGUUAAGGCGUGCGUAGACGGGCGCUUUGAAAGACGGGGGCUCAACCUUCGAACGGCCGUUGAUACUGGGCGCCUUGGAUGCGGUAGAGGCGGGCGGAAUGCGAAAUGUAGCGGUGAAAUGCUUAGAUAUGGCGCAGAACGCCGAUUGCGAAGGCAGCUCGCCAGGCCGACAUUGACGCUGAGGCACGAAAGCGUGGGGAUCGAACAGGAUUAGAUACCCUGGUAGUC